UACGGAGGGGGCAAGUGUUAUUCGGAAUGACUGGGCGUAAAGGGUACGUAGGCGGCCAACUAAGUUGAUGAUGAAAUCCCAAAAGUUAAUCUUGGCAACAUUUUCAAUACUGGUAGGCUUGAGUAAGAGAGAGGAUAGUGUAAUUUCCAAAGUAGGGAUAAAAUACAUAGAGAUUGGAAGGAGCACCAGAAGCGAAGGCGACUAUCUGGAUCUUAACUGACGCUGAGGUACUAAAGCGUAGGGAGCAAACGAG
Molecule: ribosomal RNA, 253 nt
Filed under: uncultured bacterium
Lineage: Bacteria
Description: partial 16S ribosomal RNA
Rfam family: Bacterial small subunit ribosomal RNA
Source: RNAcentral